Long non-coding RNA from Amphimedon queenslandica, 158 nucleotides. RefSeq lists it as uncharacterized. NCBI's taxonomy places the organism in Eukaryota, Metazoa, Porifera, Demospongiae, Haplosclerida, Niphatidae. The transcript is spliced from 3 exons. The record is from RefSeq and is a predicted model, not a curated record.
GUCUAUCAAAAGAAGAUUCAUCAGAAGGAAAGAAAUCAGCUAGAAGUACAGGGCGAAGAUCUGACUCCACUACAACAAGUGGCACUGAAAACAAAGAUGGAGUUGAAGUACCACAAGCAAGUGAUGCUAAGGAAAGUGAUGGACUUACACAGGGUAAC